AGAAGCUUACAAUUCGUUCAUUCUCCUCAUUACUUUGGUAAUAAUCACCAAUAAUUUAAGCUCCGUGACUAACUUUUAGAAUUUCGAAUAACUGCUCAAAAUGAAUAUUAAGGCAUUUUUUAUCCUUCUGAUCGUGGCAGUGACAUUUUCUGCAGCAUUUGCUAACACCAACAAGGCAAUGAAGGAGGCACAACAGCAAAAGGUCUUCAAUGCUCAUGCUGAAACUUUGGAAAUGGGAAUUUUGGGUCGAGUGGGAGGACCGAAAUUGAAAUUGGGGCGCCCUCAACCCCCCGCGCACAUCAACAUGAAACAAUAAUGAUGUCCCUUUAACAACGCGUACUUACAUGGAACACCCUGAUGCAUAAAACCGUCUAAUGAUCACUUCGAUGAUUGGUUGUCAGAAAUGACUCACUUUAACAUAACCAAUUUGUCAUCAUAUUUACCACUAAAAUUAUUAUUGUACAAUAAAUUACUUCAUAAAUUGGCCU
Molecule: long non-coding RNA, 488 nt
Organism: Folsomia candida
Lineage: Eukaryota; Metazoa; Arthropoda; Collembola; Entomobryomorpha; Isotomidae
Exons: 3
Source: RefSeq, a predicted model, not a curated record